GAUGAAGAACGCAGCGAAAUGCGAUAAGUAAUGUGAAUUGCAGAAUUCCGUGAAUCAUCGAAUCUUUGAACGCACAUUGCGCCCGCCAGUAUUCUGGCGGGCAUGCCUGUUCGAGCGUCAUUUCAACCAUCAAGCCCCAGGCUUGUGUCGGGGACCUGCGGCUGCCGCAGGCCCUGAAAACCAGUGGCGGGCUCGCUGUCACACCGGGCGUAGUAGAUUUUAUCUCGCUCAGGGCGUGCUGCGGGUUCCGGCCGUUAAAAAGCCUUUUUUACCCAAGGUUGACCUCGGAUCAGGUAGGAAGACCCGCUGAACUUAAGCAUAUCAAUAAGCGGAGGA
RNAcentral lists this unclassified non-coding RNA (336 nucleotides) under soil metagenome. Its description in RNAcentral is "partial contains 5.8S ribosomal RNA, internal transcribed spacer 2, and large subunit ribosomal RNA". The stretch from base 1 to 120 matches the Rfam family "5.8S ribosomal RNA", at positions 35 to 154 of the family's 154-position model. The record is from RNAcentral.